AUUGAACGCUGGCGGCAGGCCUAACACAUGCAAGUCGAGCAGGAUUUACCUUCGGGUAAUGAGAGCGGCGGACGGGUGAGUAAUGCUUGGGAAUCUACCUAGUAGUGGGGGACAACAGUUGGAAACGACUGCUAAUACCGCAUACGCCCUACGGGGGAAAGGGGGGAUCUUCGGACCUCUUGCUAUUAGAUAAGCCCAAGUCGGAUUAGCUAGUUGGUGGGGUAAAGGCCUACCAAGGCGACGAUCCGUAGCUGGUUUGAGAGGAUGAUCAGCCACACUGGGACUGAGACACGGCCCAGACUCCUACGGGAGGCAGCAGUGGGGAAUAUUGGACAAUGGGCGCAAGCCUGAUCCAGCCAUGCCGCGUGUGUGAAGAAGGCCCUAGGGUUGUAAAGCACUUUAAGUAGGGAGGAAGGUCUGGUAAUUAAUACUUAUCAGGAUUGACGUUACCUACAGAAUAAGCACCGGCUAACUCCGUGCCAGCCGCCGCAGUAA
RNAcentral lists this ribosomal RNA (495 nucleotides) under uncultured bacterium. RNAcentral's name for it is "partial 16S ribosomal RNA". It matches the Rfam family "Bacterial small subunit ribosomal RNA", at positions 30 to 523 of the family's 1533-position model. The record is from RNAcentral.